CCCGCCCCGCCCCGCGCGUCAGUCAGCGCCGGCACGGCCCCGGCGGGGCUGGGCUCGGCAGCGGCCGGGGGAGGGCCCUGAGUAAACGGCGUGGGUGUGCGCGUGGCUGGGCCUCGGCCUCUGUCUGCGCCGCCGGAUUCCGGCCGUUAGCAAGGGCUGGGUCGACGUUAGCGCGUUAAAAACUGCCGGUUGUCCUGGGCUGAGCUCCGGAAGUUCAGGUCUCCUCAGUCCGGCUGGUCAGAUCUGCACAGAACUGAGCGUCGACGCGGCUCAUAGGUGUCAUCAGCCUCCCUGUUGGUGAUGCAAAGUUCGUAUAACCACUUCCUUGUCAAGGGUCAGGAUUACUCCAUCCCUCCUUCUCUGAAAAUGUUUAGAAACCACACCUGCUCCAGAGGAUCAAAAGAGGUUUGGAGGACAGACCAUCUGUAUGACAGAGGCAAGGUGAGGUUUCCUAUGAAAAUGAAACCUGGAAAACUUGAAGAGCACAGGACUUACUCCUGCUUGAAUUCAAGUCUCCCGAGAGAUUUCUUGGAUCCAUCUGUACGCACGUGA
This 552-nucleotide long non-coding RNA is filed under the name Anser cygnoides (Swan goose). RNAcentral's name for it is "lncRNA (ENSACDG00005014206.1)". The record is from RNAcentral. Lineage: Eukaryota; Metazoa; Chordata; Aves; Anseriformes; Anatidae.